This 705-nucleotide long non-coding RNA is filed under the name Anas platyrhynchos platyrhynchos (common mallard). RNAcentral's name for it is "lncRNA (ENSAPLG00000021216.1)". The record is from RNAcentral. Lineage: Eukaryota; Metazoa; Chordata; Aves; Anseriformes; Anatidae.
UGGAAGUACUCCCAGUGACUCUAGCCUGGGAGCCGAGCCCGUCAUCUGAGCAACAGCAGGACCUUCUGCGCUCUUCGACACUUGGAAAAGAUUCAGUUUCCAAACCUCUUAAAUCUCAACUUGUUCUGCUUAGAUUGCCAGCAUGUCUGCCAGCACAACAUUAAAAUCCUUUUAGAAAUUAGUGAUGGACCAACAGCUUCUCUUUCCUGAUGUUUUUACUAAUAACCAGAAGAGAGAAGAAAAGCCAAGAGGAGUGCUGGCAGAUUUUGUAAACCCAGAUCAGUGGAAGAUCAAGCACACUGGGCAUCCAGUUAAUCUCAUGCAUUGGUAUGCAGUGAACAGGCAAAUCUGGAUCUGAUGCUGAAUGACUGCACACUUGUCUGACUAUGAACAGUUCUGCAAAAGCCACAAAAGGAAAUGGACUUACACUUGUGUUUGUCUGGGGCAAAUCUUGGUCAUUGCACAUGGUCACACCUGAAAGGCACAAACAGACCUAAGAACUGAUCUGUUAAGGCCUUGAACAUGAGGUAUUCCCUCACUGCAUAUCUGUGAAAUUCUCACCAUCAUGAGAUAUAUAGUAAUACCAUUUAUCUGCAAUCUGUGAAGAUGACUCUGCUCCCUGUAUUGUAAAUUAUGUCAAAACCAAAUUGAUUAUCUCUAAGAAAAAAAAAUAAAAACAAGACAGCAAAUAUUUUUUAGAGUUCA